GGGCUAGCUCAAUCGGUAGAGCGUGAGACUCUUAAUCUCAAGGUUGCGGGUUCGACCCCCGCGUUCG
Molecule: transfer RNA, 67 nt
Filed under: Coemansia sp. RSA 1933
Lineage: Eukaryota; Fungi; Kickxellomycota; Kickxellomycetes; Kickxellales; Kickxellaceae
Description: tRNA-Lys
Rfam family: tRNA (bases 5-62)
About the family: Transfer RNA (tRNA) molecules are approximately 80 nucleotides in length. Their secondary structure includes four short double-helical elements and three loops (D, anti-codon, and T loops). Further hydrogen bonds mediate the characteristic L-shaped molecular structure. tRNAs have two regions of fundamental functional importance: the anti-codon, which is responsible for specific mRNA codon recognition, and the 3' end, to which the tRNAs corresponding amino acid is attached (by aminoacyl-tRNA synthetases). tRNAs cope with the degeneracy of the genetic code in two manners: having more than one tRNA (with a specific anti-codon) for a particular amino acid; and 'wobble' base-pairing, i.e. permitting non-standard base-pairing at the 3rd anti-codon position.
Source: RNAcentral